This 76-nucleotide transfer RNA is filed under the name Campylobacter jejuni. Its description in RNAcentral is "tRNA-Glu". It matches the Rfam family "tRNA". Rfam says of the family: Transfer RNA (tRNA) molecules are approximately 80 nucleotides in length. Their secondary structure includes four short double-helical elements and three loops (D, anti-codon, and T loops). The record is from RNAcentral. RNAcentral also lists the same sequence under 1183 other names. Lineage: Bacteria; Pseudomonadati; Campylobacterota; Epsilonproteobacteria; Campylobacterales; Campylobacteraceae.
GUCCCCUUCGUCUAGAGGCCUAGGACACCGCCCUUUCACGGCGGUAACAGGGGUUCGAAUCCCCUAGGGGACGCCA